UUUACAGCCUGCCUUUUUGCAAGGGAGAUGUCUGGGACAUCGUCUUCGACAUCCUCAUCAGAUUCAGAGCCUCACUUUCUUUCCUCUUCCUGACCUUUACUUUACUCCAAGACUUGGAGGGACCUAUACCAAUAACCUUUUUCUCUCUUCUAGCUGUCCUUAUUUCAGCCACACUCUUCCUUUUUCUCAGUUUCUUAGCUACACUUGUUUUCACAAGAUUGAC
Molecule: long non-coding RNA, 223 nt
Filed under: Lathyrus oleraceus (garden pea)
Lineage: Eukaryota; Viridiplantae; Streptophyta; Magnoliopsida; Fabales; Fabaceae
Description: Pisum sativum (pea) long non-coding RNA (PSAT_LNC025413)
Source: RNAcentral